RNA transcript from Juglans microcarpa x Juglans regia, 4301 nucleotides. It is a transcript of the gene named inactive poly [ADP-ribose] polymerase RCD1-like, with no coding region annotated. The transcript has 9 exons. NCBI's taxonomy places the organism in Eukaryota, Viridiplantae, Streptophyta, Magnoliopsida, Fagales, Juglandaceae. The record is from RefSeq and is a predicted model, not a curated record.
AUAUUAAAGAGUAGACGGAGAUAGGGAUGCAGACCAUGGAGGACAAACAAGGCUUAUGAGGCGAAGAACGCCGACUUAAGGGAUCCGGAGUCAGCUCCAUAUUUAUUAACGGCGUUGCAUCCAUACGGUUGCCUUCUGUUAUCUGGACGGGUUUAGGUUUUAAAUUCUCGUCGUCGGAAGCUUUUUAUCCUGGGUGUCAAAUCCCUGAUCCCCCUAAAUCUUUUUAUUUAUCGCAGGUGCAGAGCUUUUUUGGGCUGUAGAUUAAAAAAGUGGAUUUUCUUUGUUGAGUUUUAUUGAGGUAAUGGCAAAGAGGAACAUGUACAUCAUGAAUGCUAACUGCUGUGCUAGGGUUUGCUAUAAUGGUUCAGUUUUUGCGAGACUGGUUUAGAGCUAGACUUUUAUAUUACUUGUAUAGUUGAGCUUUUAGAUUUAGACUUGUGGAUAGAUAUUGGUCAAGAUAGAAAUGGAAGCAAAAAUCGUGAAGGCAUCGGAUAGAAGACAGAAAGUUAUGCUUGAUCCAAAAAGAAAGCGGUCGACCAUGUUUCCUGCUUAUUUAAAUGGAAUUCACCGAGCAAUGAUACCACAGUGCACCACUUUGGAUUUGUUGCAAAAUAAGCUUGGAAAGCGAAGGAAAUUGGAUGGAUGCAAAAGCAAGCUUAUGCGUAAUGGGUCUAAAAACAAGCUCAUGAAUCAUUGGUCUCGUGUUGGGAGAUCUUCACAUGGACGUUAUUCAAAUUAUAUGAAAACUGGUACACCUAAGCGUAUAAUGUUUUAUCAGAAUAGUGAAUGGAUUGAUUUUCCUCAGGAAAUUGUUGAUAUGGUUAGGGAGGAUUUUCAGGUAAAGAAGGCUACUAUGGAGAUUGAGUUAAAUGAGCAUUGUUUCUUGCUUGAUUUUUUGCACAUGUUUCAAAUGGACUUAAAAACUGGUUUACAGCAACCAAUUGCUUGGAUUGAUGAAGCAGGUAGCUGCUUCUUUCCAGAAAUUUAUGCAGAAGAUGAACUCUUUGACUUCAAUCCACCCAAAAGUGGAAAAUAUCAAUUCCCAGGGGUUGAGGAGUCUUUUGGGUCUCCUGAGAUCAAACUGCAGCUGGAAAUUGAAAUAAAUGGAGCGGACCAAUCUAUUAAGGAAUGUAGUGGGGAGCCUAAUGCUCUAGUUAAGCAGAUUCAAAUCAAUCGUAAACCUGCUAGCAACCACUACGAUCUAGACGUUGAGGGGAGUUGCAAUUUGGAAGGUGGUGCAAAAAAUGACGAGGCUGUUCAGGAAAAUAAACUGAUGAAGGUAGAUUUAGUCACCGUUCCUGAAUCUGAAAAUGAAGAAUUUGAUUGUGUUGCUGUGCAAAAGACGUUCCUUACUGGUAUGGGUGCUUUUUGUAGUGCUGACAUUGUUGAGAUAUACCCUUGCUCAAGUACUUUGAUGCAAGCUCGGUUUGAGCUUUUCCGGAAGCAGGUAGAACUAACCAAAAAGUGUCGUGGGGAUGCGAAUGUUCGAUAUGCUUGGCUUGCUUCUUCUGAAGUGGAGCUGCCAACAGUAAUGACAUAUGGGCUUGGUCAUUGUGGACCUUCCACAAUCAAGUCUAUGCAUGGCAUUGGUGUUCAUCUUGCAGCUGCUAACAGCUCUUACACAAGUGCAAGUCAAUGUGAUGUUGAUGAAAAUGGGGUACGGAAUAUGGUAUUUUGUCGAGUGAUAUUGGGAAAUAUGGAGGCCGUUUGUCCUGGCACUAAACAAUACCGUCCCAGUUGCAAGGACUUUGACAGUGGAGUGGAUGACCUUCAAAAUCCAAGAUUUUAUAUAAUCUGGACCAUGAAUAUGAACACACACAUCUAUCCAGAAUUCGUUGUCAAAUUCAAGAUCUCUUCCAAAGCUGAAGGGCUUUUGGUUGGAAGUGAGACUAAUCACGCUGUUUCAGGGAUUACUAAGUCUUGUCAUGUGACUCAGGGCCAACAUUUAGAGUCUCCCGCAGUUCAUGUGGAGAGCAUAAGUCAACCAAUUUCAAAUUCUGGGAAGUCCGAGGGGAAGGCUGCUAGUCUAGGUUCAAGCAGUACAAGAACUUGUAAAUCCGCUUGGAUGCCUUUUCCCAUGUUGUUUGAUGCUAUCUCAGAUAAAGUUCCUCCAAAGGCCAUGGAAGAAAUUAAAUUGCAUUAUGGCUUGUUCAAGGCAAAGAAUAUAGUGCGCGAUGAAUUUAUCAAAAGAUUGAGAUUUAUAGUUGGAGAUACUUUGUUAAGGUCUACAAUCACUAAUCUUCAAUGCAAGCUAGGUCAACUAGGAGCAGUUAAUUUUGGUGGUUUAUUUGUUGGUAGGCUCAUUUUGGUUUUGGAAUGGUUGGUUCUGCCAGAAUUAAAAUCUAUUUGGUAGCUUGAUGAAGGUAAUCUCCAUUUGGUCGGGAGUUAGUGGCAUACAUGAAGUCUGGUCAUUUUAAUCAUGAAUUUAUGUAAUUAGAUUUUGAUAUGUUAAAGAUAUACGAGGCAAUAUGACUUUUUGCAUUUGAUUGCAAAUGGCACUCCAAAUGUGGCAAUGCAUUUUAAGUAUGAGCGGAAAAUUCAAGGAUGGGAUUGUGAAACAAUUAUUAAAGUUAUUUGGUGUUGCGACAUUAAUAAAGGGUCACAUCAGAUGUAAAAUUGUAGCUAAUGUAACUUAUAAAAAAAAAUAUAUAUUGUAGCUAGUGUUAUGGUAAUAUGGCCUAAGGCCCUCAUAUUCCCAGCGGGUAGGGUGCUAACACCUCGUUGCCCUCUCCUAUCUUUUCUUACCUAGCAAAAGAAAAGAGUAUGGUAAUAUGCUCAACUUUUUGAAAAUUUUACACCACGAAAUAACUUCUCAUUGGAUUGGUAUUUCGUCAGGUCUAGCUUUAGAUUAUAGUAAAACCCCAAGGGGUUGGGCGAAGUGGUGAAGGCCUUAGUCUUUGGGUAUCACUCCCUUUAAGGUUCAAGAUUUAACACCUCAUGGGUGCAAACAAUCCUUUGGGACCACACCAUCUGGUGAAAAGUCAGCGAUUUAACCAAUUCCGUGUAGGGAAACUUUUGAGGGUGUGGUGCACGGGACCGGGGUUUACUCUGUAUGGGUGGAUCCGAAGGGCUCUGCCUUGGAGAAGUUCUCCGACAUAAAUAAUAAAAAAAAAAAAAGAGAAAAAGAAAAAAGAAGAUUACAUGAAAUUUUGUGUCUAUUAUGCUCUCCAAAUGACUUUCUAUAUUUUGAAAAACUAUUAGAAGUAUGAGAACUUCAGAUUCAUGUUAAAUGACAUUCAAUUUAUGCGAAAUUCGUUAUGCAUAACAUUUACUAAAUCAAACUCUAGGUAUUGGUUAAAAUCAAACCCCGUAUAUCAUAUUAUUCAACUUAUAGGUUUUGAAUUACCAAAACAUGGAUUUAGGAGAACGCUUGGCAAAUGGAAAUACAAUACCCAUACCCGGAAUGUUCUUUUCUUUUCCAUUUCUUUGAUUGAAUGGCAGUAGUGGAUCACACAAUGGUGUUACCCCUUAUUUGCCCUGGACCAGUGAUCCUGUUGAGGAUCAUCUUUCUUGACGUACCCCUAGUUAGUUCUACAUGAUGUAACUGGUCCUGCAUCAAAAGUAAGUCAUGGAAAGGAGUCUGUUAGGAUUUUGUGAAGGAAAACUAUAUGUAUGGCUGAGACUGGAUUGAGUUGACAGAUCACAGAUAGCAUACAAAUUUUUGUAUUGAAGGUGUCGAAAGUGCUGGGGGGUACUGUUCAUAUGAGAGUUCGUUUAGACGGACCCGUGCCCCCUAACAAUUCUGGGUAUUGGUAAUUUUGGCACUCUUUUCCAAGUUUCGGAUGCAGCCUUCAAGUCACUAUUUAUGGUACCAACACAAUCCAAGUAUGAACCGGAAGCGCCAAAGCCUAAUGUAGAAAAGGUGCAAGAUGCCUUUAAUUGACAGUGGUGCACUUGAACGUUUGCAUGUGGUGGUGCCGAAGGGGUGAAGACGUUGGACAUUUCAGUCGGUAAAUGCGUCGACAUGAAGUUUUGAGUACCAUGUUGGAUGAUUCUAGGUUUUUACAUACACUGCGGAAAAUAUAUAAAACUUUUUACGACUCUUUUUGCAACCAUGUUUUAAAUGAAGGGUACUUUUGUAAGAUAAUUUAUGAAAUAGUUAUAAUAAGUAUUAUCACUAUAAAAAUGCCCUCAUUUGAACAUGAUUGUAAAAUUAGUUGUGACAAACGUUGUCUAUUAUUCCUAGGAGUUUAGGUAAUAGUGGAACAAGGGACUUAGAAUCUGUAAGUUUGGCUUAUCUUUGUCUAUGAGCAAUGCUAGACGUGGAAGCUCGUGUUUGAAAGUCGAUUAUUUCUUAUUAA